Molecule: unclassified non-coding RNA, 324 nt
Filed under: Candida albicans
Lineage: Eukaryota; Fungi; Ascomycota; Pichiomycetes; Serinales; Debaryomycetaceae
Description: sequence contains ITS2
Rfam family: 5.8S ribosomal RNA (bases 1-77)
Source: RNAcentral
AUAUUCCGUGAUCAUCGAAUCUUUGAACGCACAUUGCGCCCUCUGGUAUUCCGGAGGGCAUGCCUGUUUGAGCGUCGUUUCUCCCUCAAACCGCUGGGUUUGGUGUUGAGCAAUACGACUUGGGUUUGCUUGAAAGACGGUAGUGGUAAGGCGGGAUCGCUUUGACAAUGGCUUAGGUCUAACCAAAAACAUUGCUUGCGGCGGUAACGUCCACCACGUAUAUCUUCAAACUUUGACCUCAAAUCAGGUAGGACUACCCGCUGAACUUAAGCAUAUCAAUAACGGAGGAAGAACUACCCGCUGAACUUAAGCAUAUCAAUAAGC